UUCCGACCAAAAGGUCGGAACUUGUAGUGGGAAGUUUCUAUAAAACUUCACCCACGACAGUUUGCCCUUGCCCUGAGCCAUCCCUUUCUUCGCAGCUGAGCCAUCCCUUUCUUCGUAGCAGUCCCUCUCUUCGCCGCAGGCCUUAAGUUUCUCAACCUCGCUCGGCCCACCGAAGCUCAACCCUGCAACUUCUUUCCUCCUCACCUCUUGUCGCUCUGGCCAUCCAGGACCCUAGCUCUAUAUAGAGGAUACCAGAAUCAUGAGAAGAGAACAUGAGAAAAAAGGGGAUUGUAAUGAGAUGUUUUUCGAGGAAAGAGCAGAAUCUCCUUUGGCUGUCGUGAUUGUGCCCCAAAGCGUUCAAAGCUGAUGCAUAAGCAAGAGGACCAAUAACUAGGAGACGUGAUUGCGAGAAAUGAUGCACAAUGGGCGAGUAGAAGCACAAAAUUGGGAAGGACGGGUGAAAUGGGGGCCGCGCCAAAUGAGGAAAGAGUGAUAAUGGAGAUGGUUUAAAUUUAUGAGGAUGGUGGGUGAGAGCUCAUGAAAGAGUGAGGGCUCAUGAGAGAGUGAGAGUUUGAAAGAGCGAGAGAAAAGGGUCGGCACUGGCAGUGUUUAUUGCCAGCCCGACGAAGAGAAAGAGAAUGAGAGAUGACACGCCAGGCACGGUCAGCAUUUACCACCAGCCUGAAAGAGAGGGAGAAGAGUAGAGGGCCAGGGGCUGGCAGCAUUUACUGCCAGCCCAAAAUAGAGGGAAAGAGAAGAGGGCUGCCAGUCCAAAAUAGAGGGAAAGAGAAGAGGGCAUGGGGUCAUUGGCAUUUGCGACCAAGCCCCAAAAGAGAGAGAUGGUGCCGAUAGUAAUACCAAUGGCUUGGGGCAACCGGCAUUAUUACCACCGGUCGCCACCCUAGAGAGAGACCUGAGCCCGUCAUCUGCCAGCACUUGUCAUUUUUGCACGAAUGUCAUGGCUGGUGCCACCAUCAUCGGCUCAACCCGGGUUUACAAAUGAGCCGAGCCAUAGUCAUAUUUGAGCUCCUUUGGGUCUCAAAAUGUCCAGUUUUCUUCUUAAAUUCCAAGAAGACCCUUGUGGAUAAAUUUUACCCGCUAUUUGAGGAAACAUUCCAAAUUUAACGAGGACAUUAGUGGUCCAAGAUA
This is a long non-coding RNA of Amborella trichopoda, 1149 nucleotides long. RefSeq lists it as uncharacterized. NCBI's taxonomy places the organism in Eukaryota, Viridiplantae, Streptophyta, Magnoliopsida, Amborellales, Amborellaceae. The record is from RefSeq and is a predicted model, not a curated record.